GACGAACGCUGGCGGCGUGCUUAACACAUGCAAGUCGAACGAAGAGCGAUGGAAGCUUGCUUCUAUCAAUCUUAGUGGCGAACGGGUGAGUAACGCGUAAUCAACCUGCCCUUCAGAGGGGGACAACAGUUGGAAACGACUGCUAAUACCGCAUACGAUCUGACCUCGGCAUCGAGGAUGGAUGAAAGGUGGCCUCUAUUUAUAAGCUAUCACCGAAGGAGGGGAUUGCGUCUGAUUAGCUAGUUGGAGGGGUAACGGCCCACCAAGGCGAUGAUCAGUAGCCGGUCUGAGAGGAUGAACGGCCACAUUGGGACUGAGACACGGCCCAGACUCCUACGGGAGGCAGCAGUGGGGAAUCUUCCGCAAUGGACGAAAGUCUGACGGAGCAACGCCGCGUGAGUGAUGACGGCCUUCGGGUUGUAAAGCUCUGUUAAUCGGGACGAAAGGCCUUCUUGCGAAUAGUUAGAAGGAUUGACGGUACCG
RNAcentral lists this ribosomal RNA (483 nucleotides) under Veillonella dispar. RNAcentral's name for it is "bacterial SSU rRNA". It matches the Rfam family "Bacterial small subunit ribosomal RNA", at positions 28 to 480 of the family's 1533-position model. The record is from RNAcentral. Lineage: Bacteria; Bacillati; Bacillota; Negativicutes; Veillonellales; Veillonellaceae.